GCCAGACUCCUACGGGAGGCAGCAGUGGGGAAUAUUGGACAAUGGGGGGAACCCUGAUCCAGCGACGCCGCGUGAGUGAAGAAGUAUUUCGGUAUGUAAAGCUCUAUCAGCAGGGAAGAAAGAAAUGACAGUACCUGACCAAGAAGCCCCGGCUAACUACGUGCCAGCAGCCGCGGUAAUACGUAGGGGGCAAGCGUUAUCCGGAAUUACUGGGUGUAAAGGGAGCGUAGACGGUGAUGCAAGUCUGGAGUGAAAGGCGGGGGCCCAACCCCCGGACUGCUCUGGAAACUGUGUAACUUGAGUGCAGGAGAGGUAAGCGGAAUUCCUAGUGUAGCGGUGAAAUGCGUAGAUAUUAGGAGGAACACCAGUGGCGAAGGCGGCUUACUGGACUGUAACUGACGUUGAGGCUCGAAAGCGUGGGGAGCAAACAGGAUUAGAUACCCCAGUACC
RNAcentral lists this ribosomal RNA (450 nucleotides) under uncultured bacterium. RNAcentral describes it as "bacterial SSU rRNA". It matches the Rfam family "Bacterial small subunit ribosomal RNA", at positions 330 to 794 of the family's 1533-position model. The record is from RNAcentral.